AUUGAACGCUGGCGGCAGGCUUAACACAUGCAAGUCGAGCGGGGGAAGGUAGCUUGCUACUGGACCUAGCGGCGGACGGGUGAGUAAUGCUUAGGAAUCUGCCUAUUAGUGGGGGACAACAUCUCGAAAGGUAUGCUAAUACCGCAUACGUCCUACGGGAGAAAGCAGGGGAUCUUCGGACCUUGCGCUAAUAGAUGAGCCUAAGUCGGAUUAGCUAGUUGGUGGGGUAAAGGCCUACCAAGGCGACGAUCUGUAGCGGGUCUGAGAGGAUGAUCCGCCACACUGGGACUGAGAAACGGCCCAGACUCCUACGGGAGGCAGCAGUGGGGAAUAUUGGACAAUGGGGGGAACCCUGAUCCAGCCAUGCCGCGUGUGUGAAGAAGGCCUUAUGGUUGUAAAGCACUUUAAGCGAGGAGGAGGCUACUUUAGUUAAUACCUAGAGAUAGUGGACGUUACUCGCAGAAUAAGCACCGGCUAACUCUGUGCCAGCCGCCGCCGUAA
RNAcentral lists this ribosomal RNA (501 nucleotides) under uncultured bacterium. Its description in RNAcentral is "partial 16S ribosomal RNA". It matches the Rfam family "Bacterial small subunit ribosomal RNA", at positions 30 to 523 of the family's 1533-position model. The record is from RNAcentral.